GGUCUCAUGGCUCAGAUGGGUAAAGCGUACGGCCAACAAUCGUAAGGCCUGCGGUUUGAGCCCGCGUGGGACCA
Molecule: transfer RNA, 74 nt
Filed under: Symbiodinium microadriaticum
Lineage: Eukaryota; Dinophyceae; Suessiales; Symbiodiniaceae
Rfam family: tRNA
About the family: Transfer RNA (tRNA) molecules are approximately 80 nucleotides in length.
Source: Rfam by way of RNAcentral